Molecule: long non-coding RNA, 925 nt
Filed under: Vombatus ursinus (common wombat)
Lineage: Eukaryota; Metazoa; Chordata; Mammalia; Diprotodontia; Vombatidae
Description: lncRNA (ENSVURG00010000362.1)
Source: RNAcentral
GCAAGGCCAUGCUCAGGACCCAUAACUCUUUCCCCUCCAUAUUUCAAACCUUGGCUUUGUAUGCUUCUUCCUCCAGGAGCCUCCAUCACAGGCCCUCCAGGACCCCGAGGUCCAGCAGGUAAGCACUCAUACCUCUGAGUAGGGAAGGAGAGUGAAACAGGAUCCAGAAUCCAUGAAAUCAUGGCUAUUCAACACGGCCAGACUUCCUCUGUAGCACAUCCCUACCCAAUCCUAUCAGAGUGUACAAACUUACCCAGUUUUCUUUAAAUGCCACUAGAUAGAAAAUCAGCAAAUUGCCCCCAUGGGAGUGAAUCCCAAAGUGGGCUUUCAGCCUUGACCUAGGUUGGGGGUUUUUCUUGCUCAGGGGAAGGCCUACCAGGACCUCCUGGACCACCUGGAAGUUUCCUUACAAACUCAGAAACGUUCUUCUCUGGCCCCCCUGGUCCACCUGGACCUCCUGGUCCCAAGGGAGAUCAAGGUUCUCCCGGACCUAGAGGAUAUCAAGGAGACCCCGGACUCCCAGGACUCUCUGUCUCAGGUUCAGACACUCUGGGGGUCUCGCUACAAGGCCCACCUGGCCCACCUGGUGCUCAGGGACUUCCAGGACCCAAAGGUGACAAAGGCAGGUGUUGGCAAGGAGGAGUUAUCGGGAUGGGAUGUUCCCACAAUCUGUAGGACUUUAGGUCAUCGGGCAUCCAACAGGCCCCCUAUUUCAGAUCCUUAAUCAUUCCACGAGUCUUUGUUGAGUAGCCAGCUUUGAGCUAAAGACAAGGAAGAGGAGGCAAACUUGGUCCUCAGAAGCUAACUCCCUUUUGAGAGAAUGGUGAUAAGCACUGAGAACAGCUGGCACCACAACAUAAAAAUGAGGAAGCCUGUGAAUAGAGGGGAGGCAAGGGCAGAGAGCAAGACCUGGCUGCUGGCUCAU